This 425-nucleotide unclassified non-coding RNA is filed under the name soil metagenome. Its description in RNAcentral is "partial contains 5.8S ribosomal RNA, internal transcribed spacer 2, and large subunit ribosomal RNA". The stretch from base 1 to 120 matches the Rfam family "5.8S ribosomal RNA", at positions 35 to 154 of the family's 154-position model. The record is from RNAcentral.
GAUGAAGAACGUAGCGAAAUGCGAUAAGUAGUGUGAAUUGCAGAAUUCCGUGAAUCAUCGAAUCUUUGAACGCACAUUGCGCCUUCUGGUAUUCCGGAAGGCAUGCCUGUUCGAGAGUCAUUAACAACCGUUUCGAUCCCUUUCUUUCAGAAAUUACAAAGAGGAAAAGGGUUUGGUUAUGGUGGAGGAGGGAAAGGGAGCGUUUAGCCUGUAAAAAAAGAGGCUGUGUUCCGCCUCCCCCCCAAAAUUGUACAGGCGGUCGUGUGCGCCCACGCAUCGAGGUGUUGUAAAAGCUGCCACGGCACUUUUCACCUGUGCAGUGCGAGAUUGGCCAGCCGGUUUAAAAACCCCUCCUAACAAUCAAAGGUUGACCUCGGAUCAGGUAGGGAUACCCGCUGAACUUAAGCAUAUCAAUAAGCGGAGGA